GGAGAGGUGGCCGAGUCGGUCGAAGGCGGCUUCCUGCUAAGAAGUUGUGUGGUCAAAAGCUGCACCGUGGGUUCGAAUCCCACCCUCUCCG
RNAcentral lists this transfer RNA (91 nucleotides) under Candidatus Melainabacteria bacterium GWF2_32_7. RNAcentral's name for it is "tRNA-Ser". It matches the Rfam family "tRNA". From Rfam's summary of the family: Transfer RNA (tRNA) molecules are approximately 80 nucleotides in length. Their secondary structure includes four short double-helical elements and three loops (D, anti-codon, and T loops). Further hydrogen bonds mediate the characteristic L-shaped molecular structure. tRNAs have two regions of fundamental functional importance: the anti-codon, which is responsible for specific mRNA codon recognition, and the 3' end, to which the tRNAs corresponding amino acid is attached (by aminoacyl-tRNA synthetases). tRNAs cope with the degeneracy of the genetic code in two manners: having more than one tRNA (with a specific anti-codon) for a particular amino acid; and 'wobble' base-pairing, i.e. permitting non-standard base-pairing at the 3rd anti-codon position. RNAcentral also lists the same sequence under 3 other names. Lineage: Bacteria; Bacillati; Candidatus Melainabacteria. The record is from RNAcentral.